Populus nigra (black poplar) is the source of this 710-nucleotide long non-coding RNA. RefSeq lists it as uncharacterized. The transcript is spliced from 2 exons. NCBI's taxonomy places the organism in Eukaryota, Viridiplantae, Streptophyta, Magnoliopsida, Malpighiales, Salicaceae. The record is from RefSeq and is a predicted model, not a curated record.
AGACAAUUAUUUCUAAACUAUCCGGUCUGGAUGACUGGAUGGCAGGUACAGGCCGAGCGAGACGCUUUCCAUUGAAGACGAUUCUCGUGAGGAACUUGGGAAAGAAAGGCAAGGAGAGCUUGCUUGUCUUGUACAGGCUCUGAGCUGACCAGGCCAUGGCUCGGUAAUAGCAGAAAGGAAACAAAGAUGACAACGGUGGGAGAGAAAUACUAUGCUACAAAGAUUUAGUCAAAUCUGAGUGGGAAGUGUUUGUUUGCUUCCCACAAUUCACAUGCUCGCUCUGUAGAUUGGCUUCUAUUUUUGCCUCAAGCAUGCUUGACUUGCCAAAAAGUGAGGCUCUCACAAGGAGGAAAGUGAAUCACUGCUCUAUAAUGGUAGCUUCUGUAAAACUCCUUACUCUUCACAAGAACACCAAAAAUAAAGACUGGACAGUUGUGUUACCUUUGAACUAACAUGAUUCCCUUUUUUCCCCCCGUUAAAUGGGAGCAAGAUUGUUGGUUUUUGCUCUUUUUAGGGAGCGAGUUGGCCAAAUUAUUGACAGUUUGUUGAGUUUGAUUCAAAUGCAUUAAAAUCUAAGUUUUUUUGCAUUGUUGACGACUAUUUUAUUUAUUUAUUUAUUUAUUUGAACUCAUAUGAUCAAUUUGUAAAGAUAAAUACCAGUGAAAGAGAUAUAAUCUUAUUUUGUUUUUAUCUAUGUUGGAGUUUUCUAA